RNAcentral lists this ribosomal RNA (1386 nucleotides) under metagenome. RNAcentral describes it as "bacterial LSU rRNA". It matches the Rfam family "Bacterial large subunit ribosomal RNA", at positions 1551 to 2925 of the family's 2925-position model. The record is from RNAcentral.
UUAGCCUGAGACCUGAUAGUGACCGCAUCAGCGGGAAAGCAGGGUGAUCCUAUGCUGCCAAGAAAAUCUUCUAGCGAGGUUCUAGCCGCCCGUACCCCAAACCGACUCAGGUGGUUAGGUAGAGAAUACCAAGGCGAUCGAGUGAAUCGUGGUUAAGGAAUUCGGCAAAAUACCCCCGUAACUUCGGGAGAAGGGGGGCCCAGAGGGUGAAGAAGACUUGCUCUUCUAGCCUGAACGGCCGCAGAGACCAGGGAGAAGCGACUGUUUACUAAAAACACAGGUCCGUGCCAAGUCGCAAGACGAUGUAUACGGACUGACGCCUGCCCGGUGCUGGAACGUUAAGGGGACCGGUUAGCCUCACGGCGAAGCUGAGAACUUAAGCGCCAGUAAACGGCGGUGGUAACUAUAACCAUCCUAAGGUAGCGAAAUUCCUUGUCGGGUAAGUUCCGACCCGCACGAAUGGCGUAACGACUUCUCCACUGUCUCAACCACGAACUCGGCGAAAUUGCACUACGAGUAAAGAUGCUCGUUACGCGCAGAAGGACGGAAAGACCCCGGGACCUUUACUACAGCUUGGUAUUGGUGUUCGGUACGGCUUGUGUAGGAUAGGUGGGAGACUGUGAAGCUGAUACGCCAGUAUCGGUGGAGUCAACGUUGAAAUACCACUCUGGUCGUUCUGGAUAUCUAACCUCGGUCCGUGAUCCGGAUCAGGGACAGUGCCUGGUGGGUAGUUUAACUGGGGCGGUUGCCUCCUAAAAGGUAACGGAGGCGCCCAAAGGUUCCCUCAGCCUGGUUGGCAAUCAGGUUUUGAGUGUAAGUGCACAAGGGAGCUUGACUGUGAGAGUGACAACUCGAACAGGGACGAAAGUCGGGACUAGUGAUCCGGCGGUGGCUUGUGGAAGCGCCGUCGCUCAACGGAUAAAAGGUACCCCGGGGAUAACAGGCUGAUCUUGCCCAAGAGUCCAUAUCGACGGCAUGGUUUGGCACCUCGAUGUCGGCUCGUCGCAUCCUGGGGCUGGAGUAGGUCCCAAGGGUUGGGCUGUUCGCCCAUUAAAGCGGUACGCGAGCUGGGUUUAGAACGUCGUGAGACAGUUCGGUCCCUAUCCUCUGCGCGCGCAGGAAACUUGAGAAGGGCUGUCCCUAGUACGAGAGGACCGGGAUGGACGAACCUCUGGUGUGUCAGUUGUUCUGCCAAGAGCACCGCCGAUUAGCUACGUUCGGAAGUGAUAACCGCUGAAAGCAUCUAAGCGGGAAGCAUGCUUCAAGAUGAGGUUUCCAUGGGGUUUACCCCGAGAGGCUCCCAGCUAGACUACUGGGUUGAUAGGCCGGAUGUGGAAGUGCGGUAACGCAUGGAGCUGACCGGUACUAAUAAGCCGAUAACUUGAC